UACGUAGGGGGCUAGCGUUAUCCGGAAUUACUGGGGCGUAAAGGGUGCGUAGGUGGUUUCUUAAGUCAGAGGUGAAAGGCUACGGCUCAACCGUAGUAAGCCUUUGAAACUGGGAGACUUGAGUGCAGGAGAGGAGAGUGGAAUUCCUAGUGUAGCGGUGAAAUGCGUAGAUAUUAGGAGGAACACCAGUUGCGAAGGCGGCUCUCUGGACUGUAACUGACACUGAGGCACGAAAGCGUGGGGAGCAAACAGGAUUAGAUACCCCGGUAGUCCCUGAGCGGG
Molecule: ribosomal RNA, 282 nt
Filed under: uncultured prokaryote
Description: partial 16S ribosomal RNA
Rfam family: Bacterial small subunit ribosomal RNA
Source: RNAcentral